This 259-nucleotide unclassified non-coding RNA is filed under the name Hevea brasiliensis (rubber tree). Lineage: Eukaryota; Viridiplantae; Streptophyta; Magnoliopsida; Malpighiales; Euphorbiaceae. The record is from RNAcentral.
AAACUUGCUCUCGAAUUCUUCUCUUUUACAUUUCUCGAUCGAAUUUCACUCAUUAACUUCCUCUUCCAAUCGCCUACACGCUACACAGGCGAUGCUACCAUCAAUUGAUUCGCUCAAACGCUGAUAGGAGAAUCGAAUUCAUCUCCUCAAGAUGUUGGAGGAUCAAGUAGCGUAUCUAUUGCAGAGGUACCUGGGGAAUUAUGUCCAGGGCCUCAGUAAAGAAGCUUUAAAGAUCAGUGUCUGGCGAGGUGAUGUGGAG